This 492-nucleotide ribosomal RNA is filed under the name uncultured bacterium. RNAcentral's name for it is "partial 16S ribosomal RNA". It matches the Rfam family "Bacterial small subunit ribosomal RNA", at positions 29 to 507 of the family's 1533-position model. The record is from RNAcentral.
AGUGAACGCUGGCGGUAGGCCUAACACAUGCAAGUCGAACGGCAGCACAGUCAGAGCUUGCUCUUACGGGUGGCGAGUGGCGGACGGGUGUGGAAUACAUCGGAAUCUACUUUUUCGUGGGGGAUAACGUAGGGAAACUUGCGCUAAUACCGCAUACGACCUACGGGUGAAAGCAGGGGAUCUUCGGACCUUGCGCGAUUGAAUGAGCCGAUGUCGGAUUAGCUAGUUGGAGGGGUAAAGGCCCACCAAGGCGACGAUCCGUAGCUGGUCUGAGAGGAUGAUCAGCCACACUGGAACUGAGACACGGUCCAGACUCCUACGGGAGGCAGCAGUGGGGAAUAUUGGACAAUGGGCGCAAGCCUGAUCCAGCCAUACCGCGUGGGUGAAGAAGGCCUUCGGGUUGUAAAGCCCUUUUGUUGGGAAAGAAAAGCAGAAGGUUAAUACCCCGCUGUUCUGACGGUACCCAAAGAAUAAGCACCGGCUAACUUCGUG